CCUACGGGUGGCAGCAGUGAGGAAUAUUGGUCAAUGGCCGCAGGGCUGAACCAGCCAAGUCGCGUGAGGGAUGACGGUCCUAUGGAUUGUACACCUCUUUUGUCAGGGAGCAAAUGUCGCCACGUGUGUCGCUUUGCGAGUACCUGAAUAAAAAGCAUCGGCUAACUCCGUGCCAUCAGCCGCGGUAAUACGGAGGAUGCGAGCGUUCUCCGGAUUUAUUGGGUUUAAAGGGUGCGAAGGCGGACUGUGAAUUCAGCGGUAAAAUUUCGGGGCUCAAACCCGUCGUGCCGUUGAAACUGGCGGUCUUGAGUGAGCGAGAAGUAUGCGGAAUGCGUGGUGUAGCGGUGAAAUGCAUAGAUAUCACGCAGAACUCCGAUUGCGAAGGCAGCAUACCGGCGCUCAACUGACGCUCAUGCACGAAAGCGUGGGUAUCGAACAGGAUUAGAUACCCGUGUAGUC
Molecule: ribosomal RNA, 459 nt
Filed under: uncultured bacterium
Lineage: Bacteria
Description: partial 16S ribosomal RNA
Rfam family: Bacterial small subunit ribosomal RNA
Source: RNAcentral